UGGGGAAUUUUGGACAAUGGGCGAAAGCCUGAUCCAGCAAUGCCGCGUGUGCGAAGAAGGCCUUCGGGUUGUAAAGCACUUUUGUCCGGAAAGAAAUCCUUGGCUCUAAUACAGUCGGGGGAUGACGGUACCGGAAGAAUAAGCACCGGCUAACUACGUGCCAGCAGCCGCGGUAAUACGUAGGGUGCAAGCGUUAAUCGGAAUUACUGGGCGUAAAGCGUGCGCAGGCGGUUUGCUAAGACCGAUGUGAAAUCCCCGGGCUCAACCUGGGAACUGCAUUGGUGACUGGCAGGCUAGAGUAUGGCAGAGGGGGGUAGAAUUCCACGUGUAGCAGUGAAAUGCGUAGAGAUGUGGAGGAAUACCGAUGGCGAAGGCAGCCCCCUGGGCCAAUACUGACGCUCAUGCACGAAAGCGUGGGGAGCAAACAGGAUUAGAUACCCUGGUAGUCCACGCCCUAAACGAUGUCAACUAGUUGUUGGGGAUUCAUUUUCCUUAGUAACGUAGCUAACGCGUGAAGUUGACCGCCUGGGGAGUACGGUCGCAAGAUUAAAACUCAAAGGAAUUGACGGGGUCAUAGCUGUUUCCU
RNAcentral lists this ribosomal RNA (586 nucleotides) under uncultured bacterium. Its description in RNAcentral is "partial 16S ribosomal RNA". It matches the Rfam family "Bacterial small subunit ribosomal RNA", at positions 355 to 1375 of the family's 1533-position model. The record is from RNAcentral.